This 348-nucleotide unclassified non-coding RNA is filed under the name soil metagenome. RNAcentral describes it as "partial contains 5.8S ribosomal RNA, internal transcribed spacer 2, and large subunit ribosomal RNA". The stretch from base 1 to 120 matches the Rfam family "5.8S ribosomal RNA", at positions 35 to 154 of the family's 154-position model. The record is from RNAcentral.
GAUGAAGAACGCAGCGAAAUGCGAUAAGUAAUGUGAAUUGCAGAAUUCAGUGAAUCAUCGAAUCUUUGAACGCACAUUGCGCCCGCCAGUAUUCUGGCGGGCAUGCCUGUCUGAGCGUCAUUUCAACCCUCAUGCCCCUAGGGCGUGGUGUUGGGGAUCGGCCAAAGCCCGCGAGGGACGGCCGGCCCCUAAAUCUAGUGGCGGACCCGUCGUGGCCUCCUCUGCGAAGUAGUGAUAUUCCGCAUCGGAGAGCGAUGAGCCCCUGCCGUUAAACCCCCAACUUUCCAAGGUUGACCUCAGAUCAGGCAGGAAUACCCGCUGAACUUAAGCAUAUCAAUAAGCGGAGGA